AAUAUUGCACCAUGGAGGGAACUCUGAUGCAGCAACGCCGCGUGAGUGAAGAAGGNUUNNGGGUCNUNAAACUCUGUCAUUGGNNNNNAAUAAAUGACGGUACCCAAUGAGGAAGCGCCGGCUAACUACGUGCCAGCAGCCGCGGUAAUUCGUAUGGGGAGAUCGUUGUCCGGAAUUACUGGGCGUAAAGGGUCGGUAGGCGACUAUAUAAGUCAGGUGUGAAAUACCAGUGCUUAACACUGGAAUUGCAUUGGAAACUGUGUAGCUUGAGUGCAGGAGAGGAAAGUGGAAUUCCUAGUGUAGCGGUGAAAUGCGUAGAGAUUAGGAGGAACACCAGUGGCGAAGGCGACUUUCUGGACUGUAACUGACGCUGAGGUACGAAAGCGUGGGUAGCGAACA
This 399-nucleotide ribosomal RNA is filed under the name uncultured bacterium. RNAcentral's name for it is "partial 16S ribosomal RNA". It matches the Rfam family "Bacterial small subunit ribosomal RNA", at positions 360 to 774 of the family's 1533-position model. The record is from RNAcentral.